Molecule: long non-coding RNA, 696 nt
Organism: Neltuma alba
Lineage: Eukaryota; Viridiplantae; Streptophyta; Magnoliopsida; Fabales; Fabaceae
Exons: 3
Source: RefSeq, a predicted model, not a curated record
AGAUUCUGUGCUGUUCUGGAUUUCUGAUUCUGUAGUAUUGUCUUUCUGCAUGAAAAUAUUUCAGUUUCUCUUCAUUAACUUUGUUCUUCAAAUUAAAAAACAGGAGGUUUCUUUGUUGAAAAACAUUGAAAUUUGAAAUCCCUGAAAAAAAAGGUGAGAAUUUAUUAUGAUUGUGAUUUUGUCAUCAUGUUACGUUUAUAUGGUUGUCUUUUGUAUAUUAGGGUUGGACUUACGCUUUUUAAUUUUAAUUAAUAUUUGCAAUAUCUUUACGAUUAGAAGUAAAUAUGAUGUUCUAAUUAAAUGUUAUGUAUUAAAAAGACCUUGUUCUUUUUGCACAAGAAAAAAAAGACUUUGUUUUUACUCGUACUGAUUAUCAUCAAAUUUUCUCAAAUAUUUUUUAGUCCUCUCUGUGUAUUAGUUCUACAAUCAUUAUUUUAUAUUAUAGAAAUUAAAGGAUUAUAUAGUUUUAUGAGGAUGAAAUAUGAUCAACAUAUAAAUUAUACAAUGAGAAUAAUAUUAAAUAAAAGUAUAAAACCCUUACUUUGUGUGAUUCUGUAUACCUUUUUCCGUUAUUAUGUCAGAAUUAUUUAUAUUUUUAAAUAUACAAGAAAAAUGAAGAAUCACAACCAAAUAGAGAAAGGGAAAAUAAUUUCCACAGAAACGUAAUUGAAAAAAAUAAAUGAAGAUUGACCGGAU